Molecule: ribosomal RNA, 497 nt
Filed under: uncultured bacterium
Lineage: Bacteria
Description: partial 16S ribosomal RNA
Rfam family: Bacterial small subunit ribosomal RNA
Source: RNAcentral
GAUGAACGCUGGCGGCGUGCCUAAUACAUGCAAGUCGAGCGAACAGAUAAGGAGCUUGCUCCUUUGACGUUAGCGGCGGACGGGUGAGUAACACGUGGGUAACCUACCUAUAAGACUGGAAUAACUCCGGGAAACCGGGGCUAAUGCCGGAUAACAUUUAGAACCGCAUGGUUCUAAAGUGAAAGAUGGUUUUGCUAUCACUUAUAGAUGGACCCGCGCCGUAUUAGCUAGCUGGUAAGGUAACGGCUUACCAAGGCAACGAUACGUAGCCGACCUGAGAGGGUGAUCGGCCACACUGGAACUGAGACACGGUCCAGACUCCUACGGGAGGCAGCAGUAGGGAAUCUUCCACAAUGGGCGAAAGCCUGACGGAGCAACGCCGCGUGAGUGAUGAAGGUCUUCGGAUCGUAAAACUCUGUUAUUAGGGAAGAACAAAUGUGUAAGUAACUGUGCACGUCUUGACGGUACCUAAUCAGAAAGCCACGGCUAACUACGUG